ACUCACGUAGCUUACUGAAAGCAUAACACUGAAGAUGUUAAGACGAACCCGCAUAAGGUUCCGAGAGCA
This 69-nucleotide transfer RNA is filed under the name Notoscopelus japonicus (Japanese lanternfish). RNAcentral describes it as "tRNA-Phe". Lineage: Eukaryota; Metazoa; Chordata; Actinopteri; Myctophiformes; Myctophidae. The record is from RNAcentral.